CUUAACUAUGGCCUAGAUAAAUGGAUCUCGAUCCAGACUUUAAAUUCACUCUAAAUCCGUAGACAGAAAUGAGUAAUACAGCACAUCAUCUUGAUACUAAUGAUAUGAAUACUACUUAUAAGUCUCAUAUGUAUAAACAUACAUAUGACUUGUAUCGGGAUCCAUCCAUCUAAACCAUAGUUACGUGUACGCGUACUCGCUGAAUGUUCAAAACCGAUUUUCUCGAAAACGAAACCUCAAAUGAACAAAUUUUAUUCUUUAUUUUCGAUAUGUUUUUUUAUGUAGAAUCACCCCCACCUCGGUUGUACUACCGAUGCUGGGACACCCUGUAUAUUAAUUACUAAAAUAUUUUUAAAACUGAUACGAAAUUGAGAAAAUUUUUCCUCUUAAAAAUAAAAAACGGUAAAUGUUUGACCGCCUAGUUUCACAAGGGUCCUAAGACUGGAUACACCUGGCUGACACGAGGCAAUGUUCGCAUCCAACUCUCGCUUCAUUCAUCGAGAAACCGUCGCGACUCCGUUAGCUGUUAAUCGCGUUACAGUUGCAUACGAGAGAUAUUUUUGCACCGUGCUUUUGAUCUUGUCGUAAUCUGGUAUUCAUGCGUGCGUGCGAGCAACGAAGGUGUGACGAUCUAGCAAUCCGGAGGCAUCGCCAUUACGCAAUCGGAUCUAUUCUCGGUCGUAGGACGCGUGUCCUGGCCGCAGGACACGCCGUAGGACUCGUAACAGACCGAACGAAAAAAGCCUGCGUGAGAAUCAGUUUUGUUCGGGGCGGAUUAUUAAAAAUUAUGUAAAUAAUUACGUAAAUCGGAGACGCAUCUAGAUGUUAUGUAAAGCCUGGCUCGAUUCGAUGGCUGGACUAACCGAGAGCUCGAUCCUAUCCCUUUGUUCGCGGAAUAGUACCGAGCGAUUAUAUAAAAGGAACAGAAGGAGAGCCGUGUUUAGAAUGUUUCGUUUUGACACCGACGUUUUAACUCCACCGCCAUGUGUAAUUAUUCGGACACCCUACGUGGAUUGAUUGUAAAAAAAAAGUCGUCACAUUUUUUUAGGGGUUUCGAUAAGACGACGACAGUAUAGGAGACUGCCUCUGGUGGUGUGCUGGCGUUUUUCAAGAGGGAGAAUUUGGCAAAUGAAGCAAUCGCGAUCGAUGACAGGUCCUAUGACCCUCAAAAUGGAUCCUAAAAUUCGAGAAAAAGAAAUUUUCAAUAUAUCUUUAUGCUCUCAUUAAUCGUCAUAGUUAAUCGUUUGAUAAUAUUAAUUGGUUUGGUGUGAAGAGCAAUAUUAUUGUGUUUCAUGCUGAGUCUGCUAACUGGAUUUAUCGAAUCAGCUUGCAAUAAUUCGUACUGAAAGUUAGAUCAUCGACGGACUUACAGCAGAGUAAGUUUUCAAUAAUUCCAGCAGAAUCUUAUCGCAAGAUUCGUUCGACUAUUGUGUGGGAACAUCUCAGCAUAGUAAACUAUAGCGUCGCAAGCGGAAGGUAUCAGACUUCUCACGUUCUGUUCAACGUGAUACUAGAAACGUUGAUAUCCCUAACACACUGGAAUGAGAUAUCAACUACAAAUAUUCUAAAAAUAAGUGUGCGUUUCGUUGAAGCAACGAAUGAAACACAUACGCACGCGAACACGAGUUGCAGGUUAAUUUGUUACAUAAACGCUCCUUUUAUUGUUAUGAAAAGAAAGUUUCAAAGUCAAAGGGUGAUUAGAUUUCUAUCAUGUAUUAGGUGGACUGGCAAGUAAUGUCGUUUUUUCAAUUUGAAAUACUUGCUUAUCACUCGCUAGCUCAUUGAUUUUUAUCGAUCCGGCAUUCAAAAUUUUUACACUAAAUGGCAAAAGGCUGUUGAUAACGACGGCGAUUACAUAAUUAAUUAAAAAAUGGAGUUUAUUCAAAAUUUGUUUGAAUUUAAUGUAAAAUAAUCGACAUUACAUUCCAGUCCACCUAAUAUAUAAAAAGUAAAAAUAAAUGAAAAUUGGAAGAACCUUCGAAGAGAUCUUGUAUUGAAACUUAAAUAUAAAUUGAAUAAAAAUAAAUUUAAAUGUGUAUUUAAAUUGUUAUUAAAUUUUGUUACCAGAAAAUAAAACCUUGAAGGCCCUUUUGGAAACCCUUAAUUAACCUGUAAUAUCUUCAAUUUUACAUUCAACUGAAUAGAUGUUUAAACAAAUAUUCGAGUGUAUUAGGGGGGCCAGAAAGUAAUGUCGUUUCUUUUACAUUA
Long non-coding RNA from Hylaeus anthracinus, 2208 nucleotides. RefSeq lists it as uncharacterized. NCBI's taxonomy places the organism in Eukaryota, Metazoa, Arthropoda, Insecta, Hymenoptera, Colletidae. The transcript has 4 exons. The record is from RefSeq and is a predicted model, not a curated record.